This is an RNA transcript of Balaenoptera musculus (blue whale), 2060 nucleotides long. It is a transcript of the gene named RNA guanine-7 methyltransferase activating subunit, with no coding region annotated. The record is from RefSeq and is a predicted model, not a curated record. NCBI's taxonomy places the organism in Eukaryota, Metazoa, Chordata, Mammalia, Artiodactyla, Balaenopteridae. The transcript has 5 exons.
CCUCGGCCUUAGCGCGCCGGAAGCGGAAGUCAGGCGGUGGUCGGAGUCUGGCUAAAGUGGUCCUGUUACCUUGGAGAGCUGAAGGGGUCCGGAGGUCCUGUGACGGUGUUCUGGGCCGGAGAUCUAAACAAUCUAAACAUUAAACAGUACAGCUGCCUCAAAUCCCUGGGAAUUUCAGAAUGACUGGCACUUCUGAAGCUGUUCCAAAUUUUGAAGAGAUGUUUGCCAGUAGAUUCACAGAAGAUGACAAAGAGUACCAGGAAUACCUGAAACGCCCUCCUGAGUCCCCUCCAAUUGUUGAGGAAUGGAAUAGCAGAGCUGGUGGGAACCAAAGAAAUAGAGGCAAUCGGUUGCAAGAUAACAGACAGUUUAGGGGUAGGGAUAGCAGACGGGGGUGGCCAAGUGACAAUCGAUCCAAUCAGUGGCAUGGACGAUCCUGGGGUAACAAUUACCCGCAGCACAGACAAGAAUCUUACUACCCCCAUCAAUAUGGACACUAUGGUUACAACCAACGGCCUCCCUAUGGCUACUACUGAUAGAAAUGUCAGCAGCUUUUAGUAAAACCAUUUACUCUGUUAACAUGACAAAAAUUUAUGUUGUAUUUUCUGUUGGUCAUAGUUUUACAUCUGAUUGUAGAGAGUGGAUUGAUUUUUUGGAACUUGAGACAUUUUUUAAAUUAGAUCUUACUGGAGAGAUAUGAUGGCUGCUGGAAAUAUCAAUAAAUACUCCCCUAAAAAGGUUGUGGCUUAUAUUGCUUGACUUCUACCUCAGAUUCUUCUUUAUUUCAUGACUUAAUAGUGCUUUGAAUGUUGUGAAUUUUUUCCUUGUUUGACUUUCAGGAGUUCUUUGUUUUACACAGAAAUAAAAAUUUUACAUAGAAAAUGCUUGCUUUUACUUUGUAAGGUAAGGAAGUAUCCCUGUACUCGGAUGUGCUCAUUCCUAAUAUUUUACAGAAGUAGUACAAUCAGCUCCUAAAUGCACAGCUAUGCUUACUUGUGAUAUAUUGUACAUAGUAGUAGUUGAAAGGAAAACAGUUAUAGUAUAUUUCAUUUGGCUUUUGUUAUUAUGUGACUGUGGUACUUUGUAAUUACUCUAUAGGUAUGAAUCAUCUUCACAAUCGUUUUGGUUUCUUUUUAGAGGGAUAUCAAGAAUAAACCUGUAAAAUCAGGAAGGAAUCAUUCUCAGUUUCAAUGUCUUGAUCUAGUGGUAGGUGGGAUUAAGGCACACAGUAAUUUUAUACAAACUCUAAGGUUUUUUGCUAACUUAAACAUACCAGGUCAAAAUUCACGCAUUAUACAAAAGUUUAACUCUGCAAUGUUCCCUUCCUUUUCAAUCAUAUGUAAAUAAUGCUGCAUUUUGUAUUUACUUUUAUGGUAUUUAACGUGGGUUGAUUUUACAAUGUUAUGUUCACCUCCAAAUGUGCACCUUUGCUGCUUCCUCUUCUGUAAAUCCAGUGAUGCUGUAACUUCCUUUCAGAGUGAUCAUUGUAUUUCACAUCAUUUUAAUGGCCAUUAUAAUGGUUUUAUUCAAAUAAAAUACUUGUAAGUAAGUAUUCUCUCUCAAAUUUUGGCAGUUAGCGCAUUCAUUAGAGAUGAGCUUUUUGAUUUUUUAUUACUCUGUUCUCCUAUCUGUUGAAAAAGGUUUAUUUAGUGUAAGAAUAAUAUUAAGAAAGAGUACAAGUUUCGUCAUAGGUCAAAGGUAUUAAAAGGCAACUUCCUGAAUCUGCCUUCUGCUGCCUUCUCUCUUAGCCCUCCACUCUAGGCCCUUGAGGUUGACAUCUCCAGGUACUACUUCUACAUGCUCUGGAUCCAACUCUCCCCUCCACCCCUGCUUCCUUAAGAGCGAUUCUUUCAGUGCCUUCAACUCCCUAAAGGAUCACCAGCCUCUUUGUCUGAAUCAGGUAAAUAAAGCUGCUGUAAUUGCUAAAGGCCAGAGCUUUCUCCUGUGUGUGUGUGUGUUUGUGUGUGUGUUUCUCAUUUUAAAGGUUCCUUCACUAUAUGUUUUGUGUGUAUACAAAAUAAUACUGUAAAAAGUAAAACUAGACAAAUAUGAAUAAUCUG